GUGCCACAGGGCAUGGGCUACAGUACUUGGGGAUGGAGAGCAUGGACUGAAGCAGGAGGCCAUGUUGCACCAUACUACUGGCAGUAGAACACCAGGUGUAGUGUGUGAUGAGCAUCAGCAGAAGACUGCCAUGCAAGCUUUCAGGAUGUGUGCUACAGAUGCAAAAAGAAGACUGUCACUCUGGGCUUGAGACAUUAAAAGUUGCUAGCAGAGCCCACUCUUCUCCCUUUUUCUCGAGUGAGGAUGCCAUUACAAAGCCUAUCUUGCAUAGAUCUGAUUUCACAGGCUAACUGCAACACCCUAAGACCAGAAAAGAGAAAGUUUCUUCAUAAAUCAGCAGAAAACUUGCAAAAUUGCCUGGUAAUCCAAAUAAUGUGAUUUUCAGCUUCCAGCUACUCAAGGAAUUAAGGCUGCAGGAAUUAAGGACAACAUUGGGAAGAACUUUGCAGUAAAAUUAAAAUUCCAAAACAUUCUGCCUCUGACAGCUAAGAUCAUGGGGGAAAGACAAGAGCACAGCAUAAGGGACUGCAUAAUAUCAUUUUUAAUUAAAAGCCAUUUGUAAAAUCAGUUGUAGGCAGUUAGGCCGACAUAAGAAAUAGACAGAGAACACGAGGCAAACAUAGGCAUCUCUGCUCAAAAACAAUAGAAACGUGAAAGAAAUAUGAGCCUGUGGGUAUAAUUGUGCUCUCAGUCACACGAGGAGUAGAACGCACAUAUGUCUUAAUUAACUGCACAGCAUUGUAAAGAAGAGCAUAAUCAGAAGCUAUAAAUCCAAGGAUAGGUUAGGGCAAACAACUGAUGAACAGGACCAGCUCUUCAGGAAAGGACUUAGAGAAGUGAAGGUACUCACAGCUGUCAAUUAAUGGGAAUCAAUGGCCUUUGUCACAGCGAGAGGUGGUGAUCUGGGUGUAGUCAUCCAGGAAAAGCAGCACACUUGUUUGUUCAUCUUCUUUUUCUUAUUACAUAAUGCUGAGAGCUCCGCUUCACCUGUCACGUUUUGAAAACUUGUGUAACUUGUUUCCCACUCCAUUUUUUUGUCCUAUUUGGCUUUAUUUUUCAUUUUUGUUUCUGCUUUUCCCAAAUAGAAAAGGACUCCGUUCAUCAAACUCCAAAAUUUUCUCAGGACUCAUCCUAAGAUAUUAACUUUCUAAACAAGUACAUGUAUGAAGGUUGCAUGAGAUGAUUCAGAUUUCUUACUGGUCAUGUCAGAAACAUAUGUACUUAUGCCACAGUUUCUAUAGGUUUCUGAUAUGUCUAAAUGUAGUGUUACCUGAGAAAUUGCCUUCUUAGCAUCUUUAAAAAAAAAAAAAGGAGUAAAUUCUUAGCUUGGAAAGAUAGAAACUGUUAUGCAAAUGUCUUUGGAUUA
Molecule: long non-coding RNA, 1366 nt
Organism: Motacilla alba alba
Lineage: Eukaryota; Metazoa; Chordata; Aves; Passeriformes; Motacillidae
Exons: 4
Source: RefSeq, a predicted model, not a curated record